RNA transcript from Pelmatolapia mariae (spotted tilapia), 6186 nucleotides. It is a transcript of the gene named PR domain containing 2, with ZNF domain a, with no coding region annotated. Lineage: Eukaryota; Metazoa; Chordata; Actinopteri; Cichliformes; Cichlidae. The transcript is spliced from 5 exons. The record is from RefSeq and is a predicted model, not a curated record.
AAAGCCAGAACCUUGUUGGUGCAUUAAGGAAGGGGAGAAAAUACAACUGUCUACUAGCAGCUCAAGAGGAAUAUUAGAAGUCCAUCUGCGGCGGUUUGUCUGCAAACACGAAAAGAAAACUCAGUGCGAUCAUCUGCUAAGGAAAACAUCUGCUCUGUACUAAACGUGAAAAUGGUGUGACAACUGCCGAAGUUUUGUCACAGAAAUACUUAAGAGAAUUGGAUCAAGACAUCACAGAAGAUGGAGCACUCUCCUCAUGUGUACAUACCAGAAUUUGGAGGCAGUGAGGAGAUAGGGGAGGAGGAAGAAGAGGAGAUCUACCAAGUCAACUCCAACAUGGAACCUGACAUGAUGAGGUCUCAUUAUCAGGUUGAGAAAGAUGGGAGCUCAUUCCCCUGUCAGCACUGUGAAGGACAGUUUGCCAGCAAGCAAGCCUUGGAAAAACACAUGGAGGUCCAUGCUUUGGCUAAUGAUGAGGCACAUUUAUACAAAAACAAUACAAACAAAAUGUCUUUUCCGUCAAAUUUAAGUCAGCUGCAGCAUGAAAAGUCAAAUGCUCUGGAUUCAGAAGAUUCAGUCACGCAGCUUCAUACGUCAUCCACGACUAGCUCUAAUACUUCUCUUUUGUCAGCUGGAGAUCUCGCUGAUCAGCCACACACAUCAGAAGUAUCAGAGGGGCAUCAUGCGUGCAAGUACUGUGAAAAAAUAUUCACAACCCACACCAACAAGAGACGCCAUGAGCGUAGAGUUCAUGAGAACCAGCUGCAGUUCACACAUGUGGAAAAAGCUCAGCUGCCUCAAGAGGAAAACCUUCACAGAACAGUCAGUGAAUCAUCUCAGCAGCAAACACGGCUUGGUGACAAUACACCGCCUGCAGCUGUUGUGGAGAAUGAAGGGGAACAUGAAGAACAUUAUAUGUUAGAUGUCUCUAGCAAUAUUUCAGAGAAUCUGAGUUUUUACAUUGAUGGAAAGAUAGUGUCAACAAGUACAGUCAGUAAAUGUGAAGCAGCUGAGGUCCAUUCUGGGUCUUCGACUUUAGUUGGACUGGAUGCCCUGAUUCUGGACCCCUCUCAUAUCAGCCAGGUAUUAAAUGCAGAUUCAGUUAUAAGCAGUGAAAUACCUGGUCAACCACUUGCCAAGAGGAGAACUGCAACACCACCUCUCUUACCACAAAUUAAAACUGAAUUGGAGUCUGAGGUAGUUGUGUCUUCAUCUUCAUCAUCACUUGUAUCUUCGUUAAUAGAGAAUUUACUUCCUCAGAAUACAGAGUCUACAGUUGUGCAGAAAGAAAGAACAGUGUUUCUGUCGCCAAAGCUAAAACAGCUCCUGGAAAAGCAGGAUGGCCUUAAACCGACACUUGCACUCAUUACAGAUGGCCAGAAGCCAUGCUCACCUGUCUCUAUCUCUGUCCUACCUUCUGGAACAGGAAAGUUUAAGAGAAGAACUGGCUCUCCAACAGGCUCUCCACAACAGACUCCAACAUCUAAUGAAGAGUCAUCAUUGUCAGAUCCGGGAGAUUUUGAUAUUGUAAGUACAGGGCAGGUAGAAAACCAGCAUAGUUCACCUGUGAACCAAACAGUUAGUGACAAUGAUGACGUUACUGCAUCCGUAACGGAGACAGCAGUGAAACCUGUUUUGCCAGACAACUGGCCCCCUGUGACAGGCGGUAAUUCCUGUAACCAACAACCUCUGGAUCUUUCUAAUACAGUCAAAAGACAAGAAGAUGUAGCUUUAGCUAAUGCUGUGCUUGAUUUGAGUUUGCAAAAAAAGAGCCUUUAUGAAUCUGAAACUAUGUCAAAUUCAGGUUCACAGGCUUUUUCCAAUGAAGCAGAACAAAAAGCAGCGAUGGAAAAAUCCUUGAUAAAAAUCGGAAACCAAAACCUAAGUCUUGCAAAUUCUGAGGCUCCUUUAGUCACAGACUUCACCAUAGUAACGGGUUCAAACAUUGUUACCCCAGUGGAGCCUGUUGCAGAUGGACUUGUCUAUGGACUUACCCUACCCCACAGUUCUCUCACUCCAUCAUCUGCCUCCUUGACUCCUGUCACCUUGCAACCAGCUUCACCAUGCACUAUAGCAUUUGCUUCCCCAGCUGCACACACCAUGCUCCCUACUGCUCCUUCAUUAAUCACAGUUUUGGCACCACCGCCACCUAUCUCCACCGCUUCGAGCCAACCAAUCCAGGUAUUGGGCCCAAAUAUAACUACUGAACCCUUGGUAAUCUGCACAGAAAAUGCAUUAAAUUCUUCUGAGAGUGAUUUAACGCCUACAUUUGCCACUACAAACUCUGCAAAUCUCGUCACACUUUCCCAACCACUUGACCCAACACUAAAUUUACCUGGCCAUGUGUUUCUUACUGAUCAAAUAGCUCUCAACCCACCAAUAGUUGAUUCAGCACCUGUCACAGAAGUGCCGUUCACACCCACUGUAACUUUAAGUGAUUCCCUACUCAAUUCUUACAACAUUGCCAGUAACACUGUGUUAAUAGAGUGUACAAUAGCUCUUGAAGCCCCAGGGAAUGUAGUUCCUGCUGCAAUUACCUUACAAGAAAAUACAGCUGAGCCUCCAGCACCUACACAGAUGGUUGUUAAUCACAUAGAACAGCAACAGCUUGUAUCUGUUCCCAGUGCUCAAACUGUGGAACCCACUAUUCUUGUGUCCUCCAUCGCAGAAUCGGUAACUCUGUCCACUUCCACCUCAGUGGUAUCAGAUUGUCCUCCUCUGGGUGAGUCAAACUCUGACCCAGAGCCUUCAGUUGGGACAGGGCCACCACCCACAAAACCUGAGGAAGCCACUGACAGUUCUGCUUCCGCACCUGAAAUCUCAUCUGAACCCGCUCCCUCUCCUGAGAAAGUUAAUGAAGAUGAAUCCUCAAAUGAUCCAGAAAAUGAUGUCCAGGAGCAGACAUUCACCAAGAAUUUCAUCUGCAAUGUGUGUGAUAAGCUUUUCCAUUCAAUGAAGGAACUUAGUCAUCAUGUGGCUGACCACGCUGAUGACUGGCCCUACAAAUGUGAGUUCUGUGUGCUGCUCUUUGGCAAACCCUCUGCUUUACUUGACCAUCGAUCAAGCCUCCACGGUGUUGGGAAGACUUACGUUUGCAGUGCUUGUACAAAAGAAUUUGUCUAUCUUUGCAAUCUGAAGCAGCAUCAGGAAGAAUUGCAUCCAGGCCAGCAGUGUACUCAUACAGAAGAAGAAAAAGGCAAACUAAGACCUCAGAACUACAACAAUUCAGCUAAAGUCAACACAGAUGCUUCAGGACCUGAAGCUCAAGAGGAACUCAAGAAAUUGGUGAAAAAGGAAGAGGGUGAAGUAGACGUGGGUGCUGAAGAACUGUUUACAACAAUUAAAGUCAUGGCUUCAGAUGGAGGCAAAAUCAAAGGGCCUGAUGUUCGUCUUGGCAUUAACCAGCACUAUCCCAGCUUCAAGCCCCCUCCAUUUCCUUACCACAACAGAUCACCUGCUGGUUCGUUGGCUUCAGCCACAAACUUCACUACACACAACAUCCCACAGACCUUCAGUACAGCCAUUCGGUGCACCAAAUGUGGGAAAAGCUUUGAUAACAUGCCAGAGCUCCACAAGCACAUCUUGGCUUGUGCCAAUGCCAGUGAUAAAAGGCGAUACACACCCAGAAAGAAUCCCAUACCUCUACGUCACUUUGCAAAAUCUCAAAAUGGAGUGCUGUCUACUACCAAUUCUACAAAUGGAUUAAAUGCUUCAAACAGAGUCAGUCAGUCAAACAGGUCCAAACCUAGCCAGGAACCACCUGUAAAGUUCAAAGUACUUAACAAAAGGAAGAAAAGGUUUGCCCAAAGGGUCAUGCCGCAGAGGAACAAGUCCGUGCAUUCAUCAAAUAAAAUGUCACCUGUACAGGUGGGUGAGCAGCAGGAAUUAUUUGUGUGUCCACACUGCAGCAGGGAAUUCACAAUGCGUCGCAGCAGAACCAAACACAUGGCUGUUUGCCCCAAGAAACCUAAAGAGGUAAAGAAAAGGAAAGAAUGUGGGAUCUCUGUGACGAAGGAAAACGAUGGACACUUGCAUAGAGGGGUUCCUCAUGGUGAAGAGCAACAACAAGGCUCACCUCCACAUAAAACGAGACUCCAGACGUCCGCCUCUGCAAAGAGGCCUGCCAUCCUACCAGUGCAAACUGUCUUUUCAAGCAAAAGAAGUAAAAUCAUUAUAAAAGAGAGCACGCAGCCAAAACAAGAGACGCCCACCUUGAAUGAGCUUCCCAUUGUUCGCACUUUUAACCCCUCCAUGCGGCAGUAUAGCAGAGUGCAGCACACCGUCAAAGGAGUUCCCAUUAAAAUAACUAUUGUGAAACCUCGGCAGACAGCACCACAGAAGGAUGAAUUGCCUCCCACCCAGAGGAGAGAAGAAGCAACCGGAUCCGUUACCAGCAGUGCUAAGCAGAGUGCUUCAGCCUGAUGACUACACAGCAGGCGAUCGGGGAUCAGCAGGACUCUGCUGUAUGGAUCUCCUUCAGUGACUUUAAAGGGAGAAAACUGGUAACGACACUGUAAACCCAGCAGACUUGUAGGCUGCAGAAUACUGUAUAAUAAACUGGAUUCAGGACACUUACAACAGACCAUGAAGGAUUCUGCAGCAUCCCGUUUUUGACAUGGAGAGAGAGAAGUGAGAGAAAGCACCAUCUCAGCACUGCCACAGGACCCCCGCGCACCUCGACCUCCAUCUCCAGCUUGGCAGGUCCCGCUGGCGCGCCAGCCUCCGGCUCACCUCGAGCCACGCGCUGUCCACCCUUACAAUAAUCACACUGUUGCUGUAACAGUAUAUUCAACACAUCACCACCAAAAAACAACAACAGCAAAAGCAGAGCACAGGUUUUAAGCCAGCGAGGCAUGAUUUUAGAUGCCGGUGAGUCCAUCUCACCUGCAGCGCCAUCGCAGACCACACCCCGCCACAAUAAUAAAGUAUUUUUUAGUUUAAUUAUAAACUUUGUCCUAAUUAUGUCCUGGGUUUUAACUAUUUAAUAAUAAAAAAGGAAACAUCACAAAAAAACACUUAAGGUCAUGAAAAUUAAUUGAGAUUUAGCAAUUCAAUAUGGCAUCCACCUUAUUUAUUAAAAAGUAUCGGUAUUGGUAUCAGCGAUACUAGCCCGUAUUUACUUGGUAUCGGAUCGAUACCAAAAUAUGUAGUAUUUCACACCACUACCUCGUGCCCAGCUAAUAAGAAAAGCAGACAUGGGUGCGCAACUGUGCACGGUGUGUAGUUUAAAUAUAGCAAUAUUGGCCCAUGGGAAGCGACAAGGCCUGUAAGCAGAGUUUGAACUAGAGCGGCGAUGGUUCGAGUCCCAUCUGCAUCCGCUCUGUACUGCCCUCAGUACACUUCAGCCAGCAGAGUCUGUAGAGCUCCAGACUCACUCUGUCUUUUACGUUUUCUUCAAAUCCCUUGUUAACUUUUGGGUGGAAAGGUGUUCAAGGUACCACAAAGCCGACUGGGUCAUGCUCCUCACACUUUUUACGUAGCCCGACUGAUACAGUUUAUCUGCUGAUGGCGACUGACUCGGUCAAGGUAAAUACAACCACGUCAUUAUUAUGAAAAAGACACACAGCUUAUCAUCUUAUAAUUCUGAAAUACCUAAAAUCACUUGUUAUGAUCCAAUGUUGUCAGUGUUUGUUUUAUGUGUGAUUCCUCCCACCAGAGGAUGGCUGUGGGUUUUUUCCCCUUUUCUUUCUUAGGGGGUGGACACCUGGGCGUGCCUGCUGAGUAGUUGGGUGGAGUCUCUUCCUGUCCUCGGAUUGGAUAACUGGUUGAUCACCUCCAGUAUUUAACCACCAGAUGACAACCACUUGGCCUCUCCUAGCCUCCACCAUCCAACAAAGAGCAUGUGUUUUUGAUUAGUUGUUUUGUAGAGUGUCUUUGCCCAUUGAUUUGCAAGUAUAACCAAGUACAACCUUUUGUGUGUUUGUGUGUGUGUGUGUGUCUGGCAUUAGAACCUUAAUCUUGUAAAUAGCUGUAAAUGAAUUUGUAAAGUAGCAAUUGUGUAUUUUUUUUCACCUUGUACAUAUUGUUCACUGCAGCAGCCUAGUAGGCGUGAGAAGCCAUUUUUGUUCAAGUUUUCUCCUGUUUUUUGUUAGAAAGUUAGAUAAGUGAAUUGUCUUUUGGUUGGUUUUCAUUUGUGUAGGAAAGCAUAGGGACCAUUAGGGAGUUUUGUUUGUUAUUUUUGGCAUU